CCGGAUUAAUACCGCAUACACUCUAUGGGAGAAAAAGCAGGGGAUCUUCGGACCUUGCGCUAUUGGAUGAGCCUAUGUCGGAUUAGUUAGUUGGUGGGGUAAAGGCCUACCAAGGCAGCGAUCCGUAGCUGGUCUUAGAGGAUGAUCAGCCACAUCGGGACUGAGACACGGCCCGAACUCCUACGGGGGGGCAGCAGUGGGGAAUAUUGCACAAUGGGCGCAAGCCUGAUGCAGCUAUGCCGCGUGUGUGAAGAAGGCCUUAGGGUUGUAAAGCACUUUCAGUAGUGAGGAAAAGUGUUGUUGUUAAUAGCGCAAUGCUGUGACGGUUAGCUACAGAAGAAGGACCGGCAAACUCCGUG
RNAcentral lists this ribosomal RNA (359 nucleotides) under uncultured bacterium. Its description in RNAcentral is "bacterial SSU rRNA". It matches the Rfam family "Bacterial small subunit ribosomal RNA", at positions 158 to 507 of the family's 1533-position model. The record is from RNAcentral.